GGUCAUUUAGAGGAAGUAAAAGUCGUAACAAGGUCUCCGUUGGUGAACCAGCGGAGGGAUCAU
Molecule: ribosomal RNA, 63 nt
Filed under: Trichoderma harzianum
Lineage: Eukaryota; Fungi; Ascomycota; Sordariomycetes; Hypocreales; Hypocreaceae
Also listed under: 2 other names
Description: partial small subunit ribosomal RNA
Rfam family: Eukaryotic small subunit ribosomal RNA
Source: RNAcentral